This 429-nucleotide ribosomal RNA is filed under the name Klebsiella pneumoniae. Its description in RNAcentral is "partial 23S ribosomal RNA". It matches the Rfam family "Bacterial large subunit ribosomal RNA", at positions 434 to 867 of the family's 2925-position model. The record is from RNAcentral. Lineage: Bacteria; Pseudomonadati; Pseudomonadota; Gammaproteobacteria; Enterobacterales; Enterobacteriaceae.
CUGUCUGAAUAUGGGGGGACCAUCCUCCAAGGCUAAAUACUCCUGACUGACCGAUAGUGAACCAGUACCGUGAGGGAAAGGCGAAAAGAACCCCGGCGAGGGGAGUGAAAAAGAACCUGAAACCGUGUACGUACAAGCAGUGGGAGCACCUUCGGGUGUGACUGCGUACCUUUUGUAUAAUGGGUCAGCGACUUAUAUUCUGUAGCAAGGUUAACCGUAUAGGGGAGCCGCAGGGAAACCGAGUCUUAACUGGGCGUUAAGUUGCAGGGUAUAGACCCGAAACCCGGUGAUCUAGCCAUGGGCAGGUUGAAGGUUGGGUAACACUAACUGGAGGACCGAACCGACUAAUGUUGAAAAAUUAGCGGAUGACUUGUGGCUGGGGGUGAAAGGCCAAUCAAACCGGGAGAUAGCUGGUUCUCCCCGAAAGCU